AACCCGGUUCUAUUAAGAGCCACCAAAUUACACUAAAAUAAUUAA
This 45-nucleotide non-coding RNA is filed under the name Paramuricea clavata. It matches the Rfam family "Histone 3' UTR stem-loop". From Rfam's summary of the family: The mRNAs of metazoan histone genes lack a poly-A tail. 3' end processing occurs at a site between a highly conserved stem-loop (modelled by this family) and a purine rich region around 20 nts downstream (the histone downstream element, or HDE). The record is from RNAcentral. Lineage: Eukaryota; Metazoa; Cnidaria; Anthozoa; Malacalcyonacea; Plexauridae.